Molecule: ribosomal RNA, 610 nt
Filed under: uncultured bacterium
Lineage: Bacteria
Description: bacterial SSU rRNA
Rfam family: Bacterial small subunit ribosomal RNA
Source: RNAcentral
AUGAGUUGCGAACGGGUGAGUAACGCGUAGGUAACCUGCCUGGUAGCGGGGGAUAACUAUUGGAAACGAUAGCUAAUACCGCAUAAUAUUGAUUAUUGCAUGAUAGUCAAUUAAAAGGUGCAAUUGCACCACUACCAGAUGGACCUGCGUUGUAUUAGCUAGUUGGUGGGGUAACGGCUCACCAAGGCGACGAUACAUAGCCGACCUGAGAGGGUGAUCGGCCACACUGGGACUGAGACACGGCCCAGACUCCUACGGGAGGCAGCAGUAGGGAAUCUUCGGCAAUGGACGGAAGUCUGACCGAGCAACGCCGCGUGAGUGAAGAAGGUUUUCGGAUCGUAAAGCUCUGUUGUAAGAGAAGAACGAGUGUGAGAGUGGAAAGUUCACACUGUGACGGUAUCUUACCAGAAAGGGACGGCUAACUACGUGCCAGCAGCCGCGGUAAUACGUAGGUCCCGAGCGUUGUCCGGAUUUAUUGGGCGUAAAGCGAGCGCAGGCGGUUAGAUAAGUCUGAAGUUAAAGGCUGUGGCUUAACCAUAGUACGCUUUGGAAACUGUUUAACUUGAGUGCAAGAGGGGAGAGUGGAAUUCCAUGUGUAGCGGUGAAAUGC